Mustela erminea (ermine) is the source of this 1571-nucleotide long non-coding RNA. RefSeq lists it as uncharacterized. The transcript is spliced from 2 exons. Lineage: Eukaryota; Metazoa; Chordata; Mammalia; Carnivora; Mustelidae. The record is from RefSeq and is a predicted model, not a curated record.
ACUGACCUGACGCAGACAAGCCAUAGAAACAUUUUUAUUGAAGGGGAUAGGGGUCAUGCUGAGUUCGGGGACAUGCAGUGAAGGGGCAGUCGUGAGCUGUCCUUGGUGGUCAGGGCCCCAGGUCCACCCUAGACCCCCUGGGCCUUUAGGUUCUCCCUCAGGCUGUUGGUCUGACCCGGGUGCUUGAGGUCCUUUGGGGCCAGUGACUCAGAUUCGGUGUUUUGGACCUGUGACCAGAACGUAGAUUGAAAUAGGGGUUCCAGGAUUUGCGAUCCCCUCAAGGCCUUGGGGCCCUUCAUAUACUAGAGAUGGAGGCUUUAGGAUUUGGGGUUCCCUGGGGGUGGGGCUCUUUACAUUUGGGUGUCUUGAGAUCCAUCGAUUCAGGGCAUUGAAGUGCUCCGGUUUCCAGGGAUGAGAAUUCCUGUUUGGGGUCUCCUGGUGCCUAUGAGCAGGGCUUGAGGUCCUUUAGGAGCUAUAGGACUUGGGGGCACAGGGGAAUUUGGGACAUGUACUCUGGGGUCUGGGAUCCCCAGAGUCCCAGAAUGGGGCCUCCAAAUUUUGGGGUCCCCCAAAGGGGGAAGUCAUUACUUAAAAAAUAGAGAAUUUUCUGGGAGCCUGGCCAGCACAGGGGCUGUGGGCCGUGUGGGGUGGGCUUCAUACAAGGCACUGGGGGCUUCUUCAGGGCGCAGAGGGUAGGAAGACUUAGGGGUCCUGUAAUUAGCACUUCCAGGACUGUUUUGGUGUCUGUAAAUUGGGGGUGAGAGUGGGCUGGUUAAUGUGGGUCUCUUCUUGAGGGGUAAGAGUGGGGAUUUGUUAAUGUAGGGUGUCUGAUUGCAGUGUAAGUUUUGGGGGUGACCAUGGUGGUCACAACAUCUUGAGGGGACUGAUGUUAAAUGUAGUUGUUACUCUGUUGCUCUGGAGAUAAUGACCUGUGUUUAUUUCAAGGGGACUUGAUGGAGGGGGGUGUCUUUGUUAAUGGGGGAGGGUUCUGAUCCAGUGAUGAAUGACUCAGGAAUGUUCUGCUCUGGAGCCAUUAUGUAGAAGUCACCAUCCUUUGAGGUGAUGUGGAAACAUGUUAUUGGGGGGUCUGCUCUGAGGGGUUGGGGACAGGGACUAGCCUGAAGGUGCUACACUCAGGGAAUCUCUUUCUGGGUACCAUGGGGUCUGUAUUUGGGGAUUAUGAGGGAAUCUGUUAAUAAUGGGGCCUCAGUGAUCGAGGGCUGGCUAAUGGGGUCUCUAUUCUGGAUGUGUUACUGGGAAUCUCUAUCUCAGGGUGACUCAGGGGCUCCUUGUGUCAGGAGAUGCUAGAGGGGACUCUUUGACUCUCUGUCAGGUAUCCAGGCCUCUAUGACUGCAUCUCCGCCCUCAGCAUCCAGGGAAACCAGCAGCAGAAGAGCAACCUGGAAUGGAGAAUCACGUCCAUCCGUCAUACCUUGAUGCAGAAUACAGAAACAUCUGGAUUCAUCACCACCCUCCUCCCCCGACUCCUACUCUUCCCCAAGUGACUAGGGUUUGGCCUUUCUGGAUUCUGUCUCUACCUGUCUGGCAAUGCCUUCUCAGGCUCUUGUGAA